RNAcentral lists this ribosomal RNA (254 nucleotides) under uncultured bacterium. RNAcentral's name for it is "partial 16S ribosomal RNA". It matches the Rfam family "Bacterial small subunit ribosomal RNA", at positions 524 to 776 of the family's 1533-position model. The record is from RNAcentral.
CACGUAGGGGGCAAGCGUUGUCCGGAUUUAUUGGGCGUAAAGAGCUCGUAGGCGGUUCGAUAAGUCGGGUGUGAAACCUCCAGGCUCAACCUGGAGACGCCACCCGAUACUGUCGUGACUAGAGUCCAGUAGGGGAGUGUGGAAUUCCUGGUGUAGCGGUGAAAUGCGUAGAUAUCAGGAGGAACAUCAGUGGCGAAGGUGGCGCUCUGGGCUGGAACUGACGCUGUGGAGCGAAAGCGUGGGGAGUGAAUAGG